UGGGGAAUAUUGGACAAUGGGCGAAAGCCUGAUCCAGCCAUGCCGCGUGUGUGAAGAAGGCCUUUUGGUUGUAAAGCACUUUAAGUGGGGAGGAAAAGCUUGUGGUUAAUACCCAUAAGCCCUGACGUUACCCACAGAAUAAGCACCGGCUAACUCUGUGCCAGCAGCCGCGGUAAUACAGAGGGUGCAAGCGUUAAUCGGAAUUACUGGGCGUAAAGCGCGCGUAGGUGGUUAUUUAAGUCAGAUGUGAAAGCCCCGGGCUUAACCUGGGAACUGCAUCUGAUACUGGAUAACUAGAGUAGGUGAGAGAGGAGUAGAAUUCCAGGUGUAGCGGUGAAAUGCGUAGAGAUCUGGAGGAAUACCGAUGGCGAAGGCAGCUCCCUGGCAUCAUACUGACACUGAGGUGCGAAAGCGUGGGUAGCAAACAGGAUUAGAUACCCUGGUAGUCCACGCCGUAAACGAUGUCUACCAGUCGUUGGGUCUUUUAAAGACUUAGUGACGCAGUUAACGCAAUAAGUAGACCGCCUGGGGAGUACGGCCGCAAGGUUA
Molecule: ribosomal RNA, 549 nt
Filed under: uncultured bacterium
Lineage: Bacteria
Description: bacterial SSU rRNA
Rfam family: Bacterial small subunit ribosomal RNA
Source: RNAcentral